GAUAGCCACCUAGAGGUGGUGACGGCUGGCAGGCAGGAGCAUGCUCCAAGGGACAAGAAUCCUGGUCCCUUGUCUUGAAGGAGAACGCUGGUGCCAGAAGGGCAGGAGAAACUAGAUUAUGAAAUUAAAAUGGGCUGUGAGCUCUCUGGUCUGAAGAGAACAAAGUGAUGCCUCCAAGUACCUGCCCCACAGGCCACGUUCAUUCCUGGGUGCCAUGGUCUGGACACCAGAGGGGAGGUCAGAAGCCCAAAACAGGAGCUAUGAGGCAACCUGGCCAGGCCAAAGAAGGCUUCCCACUGACCCAAACUGUGGCUAAAAGAGGAGUGAGUAUAUUAGUUCCAAGACUGCUGUAACCAAUGACCCCAAACUAGGCAACUUACCACAGCAGAAGUGUAUUCCCUCAUAGUUCUGGAGACCAGAAGUACGAAAUGAAGGUGUCAACAACCCCGUGCUCUCCCCAGAGAUUCUUGGAGGCAAUCCACCCCUUGCCCUUUCCAGCUUCUGGUGGCAUGAAGACUUCAGCAUUCUUUGUGAUUACGUCACUCCAAACCCUGCCUCUGUCCUCACAGAGCCUCCUCCUCUCCUCUGUGUGCAAGUCUCCCUCCUCUUCUUAGAAGGACAUUGUCAUCAAAUUUAGUGUCCACCAGAGGCAAUCCUGGAUGAUCUUAUCUCAAGAUUCCUAACUAUAAAACCCUUUUCCCCAAAUAAGAUCACAUUUACAAGUUCUGGA
Molecule: long non-coding RNA, 730 nt
Organism: Chinchilla lanigera (long-tailed chinchilla)
Lineage: Eukaryota; Metazoa; Chordata; Mammalia; Rodentia; Chinchillidae
Exons: 3
Source: RefSeq, a predicted model, not a curated record